GGUCUCACUAUGUAGUCCAGGCUGUCCUUGAACUCACUAUGUAGAACAGGCUGGCCUGGAACUCAUGGUAAUCCUCCUGCCUCAGCCUCCCAAGUGCUGGGAUUACAGGUGUGUCCACCCCUG
This 123-nucleotide microRNA precursor is filed under the name Chinchilla lanigera (long-tailed chinchilla). RNAcentral describes it as "miRNA (ENSCLAG00000021301.1)". Lineage: Eukaryota; Metazoa; Chordata; Mammalia; Rodentia; Chinchillidae. The record is from RNAcentral.